GAUGAACGCUGGCGGCGUGCCUAACACAUGCAAGUCGAACGGGGUGAUACCUUCGGGGAUCACUUAGUGGCGAACGGGUGAGUAACGCGUGAGAAACCUGCCUUUCAGUGGGGGACAACAGUUGGAAACGACUGCUAAUACCGCAUAAUGUCAUUUAGGGGCAUCCCUGGAUGACCAAAGCUUUAUGUGCUGAAAGAUGGUCUCGCGUCUGAUUAGCUAGUUGGUGAGGUAACGGCUCACCAAGGCGACGAUGUCUAGGGGUUCUGAGAGGGUGAACGGCCACAUUGGGACUGAGACACGGCCCAAACUCCUACGGGAGGCAGCAGUGGGGAAUAUUGCACAAUGGGGGAAACCCUGAUGCAGCGACGCCGCGUGAGUGAAGAAGUAUUUCGGUAUGUAAAGCUCUAUCAGCAGGGAAGAAAAUGAACGGUACCUGACUAAGAAGCCCCGGCUAACUACGUG
Molecule: ribosomal RNA, 462 nt
Filed under: uncultured bacterium
Lineage: Bacteria
Description: bacterial SSU rRNA
Rfam family: Bacterial small subunit ribosomal RNA
Source: RNAcentral